AUUACAUUAAUGUAUAGAUAUUAUGAAGACAAAACUAAAAUAAAAGAGUUAGUAAGGCUGAAAUUGUAAUUUGUUUAUUGUUUUGAAAUAUAUUUGUAUAAUUAAAUAUAUAAUGUUAUGUAAAUUAAAUUGUUUAUUUAUUUAGUAUUAGUAGUAUAGAAAUGAUGUUGUAAUUAUGUACUGUAAAGGAAUAAAGUUUAUAAUUUUAAUUUAGUAGAAGUUAAUUUUCGUACCUUUUGUAUAAUGGGUUGAUGAUUGUUAUCAUUUUAUUAUGUAUUCUCGAAGUGUAAGGAUUUACUUAGGAAGUGUAUGUUAACGUUGUAUAGUUAUAUACUGAUUUUUAAGUGGUAAUGAUAUGUUUAUCGUUUUUCAUGAUAGCUAGUUUAUUGGCGUAGGAUAUUUAAGUAUCAUAGUAUUAAUAUAGCUUAUAGUUGUUUUAAUAUUAGUUUAUUGCAUGGGGGAUAAGCUUCAUGUAAUAAUAUAGAAUAUAGUAAGUAAGUUUUAUUAGGUUGUAAUUUAAGUAGAAUUAAUAAUGUUUUUCUUUAAAAGUAGUUUAAAUUAUAGUAAAAAUUAUUUAUUUUCAUGUUUAAGUAGUUGAUAAAUAUUUAUAAAUUUAUAUAUAAAUAAAUAUAAUGUUAAUAUGAGUAUUGGUUAAAUAAAUUGGUUAAAACAAUUUAAAGUGUUGUAAUUGAAAUUGGUUUUUAUUGAAAUAAAAUUAAAUGAAGUGAAGGAAUUCGGCAAAUAUUAAUCUCGCCUGUUUAUCAAAAACAUGUCUCUUUGUAAAAUGUAAAUAAAGAGUUGGGCCUGCUCGGUGAAUAAGUUUUAACAGCUGCGGUAUUUUAACUGUACUAAGGUAGCAUAAUAAUUUGCCUUAUAAUUUGAGGCUAGAAUGAAUGGUUUGACGAAGGUUAAGCUGUCUCCACUUUAUUUUUUAGAAUUUAAUUUUUAUAGUGAAAAAGCUUAAAUUUUUUAAAGGGACGAGAAGACCCUAAUGAGCUUAUAAUUUUAUUAUUGUGAUUUAAUAUAUUUAAAUGAUAAUAUAUAAAUUUUAAUUGGGGUGAUUAAGGAAUAAUUUAUAAGUAGUAACUUCCUUAGAUUAAAUAUAUAUUGAUUAAGUAACCAAUAAAUAUAUUGCUUAUAAUAUAGUUACCAUAGGGAUAACAGCGUAAUUUGUUUAGAGAGUUCUUAUUGAAAAACAAGAUUGCGACCUCGAUGUUGGAUUAAAGUAACCUUAAGGUGCAGAAGCUUUAUUAGGUAAAUCUGUUCGAUUUUUAAUACUUUACAUGAUCUGAGUUCAGACCGGCGUGAGCCAGGUUGGUUUCUAUCUUUUAAAAUGAGUUUUGCUUCUUUUAGUACGAGAGGACCAAGGAAAGCUAAAAAUUUAUUAUUAUAAU
RNAcentral lists this ribosomal RNA (1394 nucleotides) under Todarodes pacificus (Japanese flying squid). RNAcentral describes it as "16S rRNA". The stretch from base 706 to 1394 matches the Rfam family "Archaeal large subunit ribosomal RNA", at positions 1423 to 2835 of the family's 2987-position model. Lineage: Eukaryota; Metazoa; Mollusca; Cephalopoda; Oegopsida; Ommastrephidae. The record is from RNAcentral.